This 690-nucleotide ribosomal RNA is filed under the name Pseudomonas nitroreducens. RNAcentral describes it as "bacterial SSU rRNA". It matches the Rfam family "Bacterial small subunit ribosomal RNA", at positions 60 to 745 of the family's 1533-position model. The record is from RNAcentral. Lineage: Bacteria; Pseudomonadati; Pseudomonadota; Gammaproteobacteria; Pseudomonadales; Pseudomonadaceae.
AGUCGAGCGGAUGAGUGGAGCUUGCUCCAUGAUUCAGCGGCGGACGGGUGAGUAAUGCCUAGGAAUCUGCCUGGUAGUGGGGGACAACGUUUCGAAAGGAACGCUAAUACCGCAUACGUCCUACGGGAGAAAGCAGGGGACCUUCGGGCCUUGCGCUAUCAGAUGAGCCUAGGUCGGAUUAGCUAGUUGGUGGGGUAAAGGCCUACCAAGGCGACGAUCCGUAACUGGUCUGAGAGGAUGAUCAGUCACACUGGAACUGAGACACGGUCCAGACUCCUACGGGAGGCAGCAGUGGGGAAUAUUGGACAAUGGGCGAAAGCCUGAUCCAGCCAUGCCGCGUGUGUGAAGAAGGUCUUCGGAUUGUAAAGCACUUUAAGUUGGGAGGAAGGGCAGUAAGUUAAUACCUUGCUGUUUUGACGUUACCAACAGAAUAAGCACCGGCUAACUUCGUGCCAGCAGCCGCGGUAAUACGAAGGGUGCAAGCGUUAAUCGGAAUUACUGGGCGUAAAGCGCGCGUAGGUGGUUUGGUAAGAUGGAUGUGAAAUCCCCGGGCUCAACCUGGGAACUGCAUCCAUAACUGCCUGACUAGAGUACGGUAGAGGGUGGUGGAAUUUCCUGUGUAGCGGUGAAAUGCGUAGAUAUAGGAAGGAACACCAGUGGCGAAGGCGACCACCUGGACUGAUACUGACA